RNAcentral lists this ribosomal RNA (358 nucleotides) under Pseudomonas putida. RNAcentral's name for it is "bacterial SSU rRNA". It matches the Rfam family "Bacterial small subunit ribosomal RNA", at positions 131 to 482 of the family's 1533-position model. Lineage: Bacteria; Pseudomonadati; Pseudomonadota; Gammaproteobacteria; Pseudomonadales; Pseudomonadaceae. The record is from RNAcentral.
CGGGGGAACCAAACGUUUUUCCUGAAAGGAACGCUAAUACCGCAUACGUUCCUACGGGAGAAAGCAGGGGACCUUCGGGCCUUGCGCUAUCAGAUGAGCCUAGGUCGGAUUAGCUAGUUGGUGGGGUAAUGGCUCACCAAGGCGACGAUCCGUAACUGGUCUGAGAGGAUGAUCAGUCACACUGGAACUGAGACACGGUCCAGACUCCUACGGGAGGCAGCAGUGGGGAAUAUUGGACAAUGGGCGAAAGCCUGAUCCAGCCAUGCCGCGUGUGUGAAGAAGGUCUUCGGAUUGUAAAGCACUUUAAGUUGGGAGGAAGGGCAGUAAGUUAAUACCUUGCUGUUUUGACGUUACCGUA